RNAcentral lists this long non-coding RNA (1535 nucleotides) under Lactuca sativa (garden lettuce). RNAcentral's name for it is "long non-coding RNA (LSAT_LNC000682)". The record is from RNAcentral. Lineage: Eukaryota; Viridiplantae; Streptophyta; Magnoliopsida; Asterales; Asteraceae.
GAGUCAAAGAAAGGUUGCUGAGGCUUUGACUGUUUCCAAGGAAGUAGUCAAAGAAAGUCAUUAGAGUUCAUUGCAGGGAAUGUAGUAAAACAGUUUAAAAAUAAAAACUAUAACUGGGACAAAAGAGAAUGUGAGAUGUGUUGUGUAGAAUUUUUUUUAACAUAAACCAAUUAGUGGAUUAACAUAGGUAAAUAACAGUUACCACAAAAUUAGCAACAAAUGUUUGCUUAAUUACUUAGGCAAACUCCAAUGAUUGGAUUAGCGCAGGUAUGUAUGGUUUUAGUUAUAUAAGACUACAAUUAAAUUUGGAUUAUAUAUUAUUAGUUUUAAAAAGUAUUGUAAUGUUGUAAAUUGUAAUUAUUUGAUAUGUGCAGAAUCAAUUCUCACAUCCGCAUGAUUUGCAGGGUCAACAUCAAAAAAAAAUAUCAGGUGAUUGAAUAUAAUGUUUUUAGGUUUAUAUUAUAAUAUAUUUGUUUAAUAAGUAGCUAAUUGAAAAUGGUGACUGAAAUUAGAUCAUUAACAAACACAUAUAUUUGACAAUUUUACCCUUAUAGUUAAAGUACGUUUUCCCUAAUGGAAUGGAAUGGACCAUUCCUAAAGAAAGAUGAUUCAUUCCAUUUUGUUAUUUUCAUUGUCUUUUUUAUUUCAUUCCAUCAUUGAUAUAACCCUUAUGUUAUUUCUCUGAUUUUUAAUGACACAUCUUUUUGAAAAUUUUACCCUUAUAGCUAAAAAGAGUAAAGUAGGUUGUGAUUUCCUUCGAUUUAUCCUUGUAGUUAGGAUAAUGUAUCAAAUAUAGAUAAAAUUAUAAUUUGUAGAAUACCAAAACCAAAAACUACAACAGAUUCACCUGCACUUUUUAACCUUUUUUUGGUUUUCAGUCUACGGAGGUUGGCAAUUUCAGUGACCUUUUAGGGGCAAAUAUUUUUUGUCUGGAUUCCGAGAUAUUUAAUAUUUGACGAUGAUAUCAUAUUACUUUUCGGUUUGUUAUAUGAAUCUCAACAAUCUGUGAGUUUUGUUAAUCUUCACGCUUUUCCUUCCAAAAUUUAUCCCACAGCUUUAACGUUUUGUCAUUUUCUCUCAAAACUUGACAGAAUUCACAGGAAAUUACAAUCAAAAGUAAUCAGAUCUUUUUUUUUUUAAAUAAGACUAAUUUCCAGUUUCUCUAUCCACUUUGCAGCCUUCCCUACAACAAAGGUUAAAAGGAUUUCAAGAGAAAUUGGAGGUGUCUUUUAUGGAAUUUCAAUCUUGGACCUUACAUGGGAACCAAUUCAUUUCUGAAAUAAGUUCUCAGCUCUAGGAUUUCACGUAUGUAAGUUUUUAGUUAUGGAAACUUAGUUAUCAAAUUUGCUUUAGGCUUCACUAUCUGUAAUUCUAUGAUAUUAGUAGCUAUAGUUUAUCCAAAUGAAAAUUUUAUAAUGUUUGCUUCCGAUUUCUUGCUGAUAUUUUCCAUGAGUUGCAAAGUGACAACACCUUCUGUAAGGGGCUCAGCAGAUUCGUUAUUCAAAGGUCAUAAGACGAUAUGAAACCAUUAUCAU